GCGGCAGGCGCGCCUGGCCGACCUCGGCGUGCUGCGCGCGCUCAAGCUGCUGCGAGCACGCCAGGACGCCGCGCACCUGCACGACAAGGUAAAAACCGCCUUAGCGCAGUUCAACGAGUUCCCAUAAUAACGCGGGCCCGCCGGCGCUGUCGGCUGCGGCGGAAGUGACUCGGCGAAGUGUUGCCAGGCGGUAGUGUUGCCAGGCGGUAGUGUUGCCAGGGCGAAUAUUUGUUAAGUGACAGGUAAACAUUGUGAUUAGUUUAUUAUUAUUUUGUUUUUGAAAUUAUUCACUUUUUUUUGUGUCGUGUAUAGUCUGGUCUGCGAGCACGUAGAAUUUUGUCCAAUGACCUCAAGCUACCCAUCCUUAUCGCUCAAGCGUAAUUAUAUUGCUGUCGCGAGACUGUGCGACGGGCGCUUGCAGUGAGUGUGCGAGCGCAAUAGCAACAUAAUUACGCGCGAGCGAUAAGGAUGGGUUGCUUGGGGUCAUUGGACAAAAUUCUAGUGCUCACAGACCGGACUUUACAGAUUAUAUCUUGAAGUUCUUUAUUUUGCACUAACGCCCGUAUUUACAAACUAUGCAUGCUUAAGUGAAGCAGAAACGCUAUGCGUAGUCGAAUAGAGCUCUGUGAUUGGUUCGUGUGUGUCACUUCGCCACUCAAGUAUUGUCAAUGAUGAUGUUUUUGCGACCCUGUGCGUCUACGCGCACUGUGAGACCCCAUAGUUAUGUUUGUGAAUACGGGUGUAAAUGUCACAAAAUACAUUAAAAUUCAUGCUUUUAUAAAUCAAAGUACAAUUUGAGCAAUAUCUGUUAGAAGUUUAGUUGUUUAGACGCUCAUAAUGUGUCCAUACCUUCGUCACUUUGGUUUUUUUAAAUAAAUCAUGUCGUACCAGGACAUGUCCUUUAAGUUAUCUGUGUUUCUUAGUCAUUAGUUUAUUGAGACAUGAUAAUAUUAGUCCGUAAUGUCCAGUUAUAUUAUACACCUGGCAACACCACCACCAUGGAUCUAAGUAAUGUAAAUAGCUAAGUUCGCAAUAGAUUGUUAUGUCGUGGAACUGUCGGAGUAAUUUAUUUUAAUUUAUCAUUGACCUCAAUUCUCAAUUAAUCAUUAUUUUCAAUUCAUAAUUUCAUUGUUGUUGUUUUUUUUAGUCCGUUAAUGUGAUCUUCAUUUGUCUUUAACGAACUUUCUCGUCAGUAUGAAAUCUCGAAAUAGAUUUGAGACUGAAGAUUGCGUUACGAAUUCCUUAUUAUUAUAAUUAUGUCAUUAACUUUAUUGUACAGACAAUAGCACAUCAGACAACAUUUUCGUUGCAAAAUAGCUUCAUUUGCAAUGAGGGUUUUCGCGAUUGAAAAAUCCGCCAGAUGGCAAUACGUAGACGCGAGGUCCAAAUGCUGCAUGAUUGGUUAUUUUUGACAUGACAUUGACAGAUAUGUCAAAAUUCACCAAUCACGCAGCAGUCAGACACCACAUCCACGUCCCGCCAUCUAGCGGAUCAUUCAUACGCGAAAACCUUAAUUAAAUACGACCCCACAGUGUUUAUGUUGAUGUGCUGUCGUUUGUAGUUUAUUGAAUUUUCUGUUUGGGUAUAUCCAAAGAGUGCACAUAGGUUAUUUCCAACGACAGAGGUGCUAGAAUCCCUCGCAAAAAUUAUAUUUUUGUGAAACUAGCAAUGUAGUCAAACUACGGUAGCAUAAUGUAGGUAGUUGUUGGCUAAUGGGUAAUUCAAUUUUUAUAUGCAUCUUUAUUUCUAUUUCGCUCUCGGUACGUCGCGGAUAAAAAUGGGUUUUGUUUAAUAUUAUAACUUCUGGUAACUAAUUUUUCGACAAAAUAUUUUUCGUUUGUAUUCCGUGACUACAUUCAAAAAGGUUUAGUUAUAAUGACGUCAUAAAAUAGCUUUUGAGGGUACCUCGAUUUAUUGUAAAUUGUGUCAUGUAACUAAAACCUAAUGGCCUGUAUAUAUUUCAAAAUACUAGUUACUAAAUACUAAAUACUAGUACAGACGAUAGCAUAUCAAGCUAAAUACGUUCAACUAAAAUCUAACAUAGCUAGUCGUACAAAGCCAGUCGAGUUAACUGCGCACCUGGCAGCCGUGACGUCACUUCGAACUUCAACGCAGACAGGGUGAGUGGAAGAAAGUCGCAUUCCAGCGAGGUGCGCAGUUGGUUUGUACGGAUUGUAAUUUUACCACCUAAAAUGAAAAAAAAGGUUGGACUUAACAACAAUAAUAAUAAGCUCGCCUUUUGUACCUCGUACUUUUAUGUUUUGUGCAAUAAAGAUUUUAAAUAAAUAAAUAAAUGUGUAGUCUGAUUUGCUGUCGUCUGUACUUCACAUUAAUAUCUUCCACAAAAUGUAAUUUUGGUAUUUUUGUAUACCUAUGCUAACAUGCCACAGUAAAUUAAGUCUAUAAGUCAUAAUAUUAUUAGUUUUGGUCAGAUACUUUCAAUUAUGUAAAAUAUAUUUAUUUAUAAAUCGAAAAUUAUGAAUCUAUAUUAAAAAAAUGUAUUUAAAAAAUUGGUAUAAUAAUUUUGAAAAUUGCUCUAAACCUUCAACUCAUUGGUAAAUACUCAAGGAUGUAUGAAUUGGUUGUAGUUAUGUUACUUUUCGCCGUAAUUUAUUGUUUGUGUAUAAAUAAUCUAAUUUGUCAUAAUGAUCUAUUGUAAAUGCAACAUUAUAAAUAUGUAUAAAUGUCCCGAUAUGUAAAGUAUUAUCGUCUAGUGACGUCAUGGCUGUAAUAGGAUAACGCCUUGAAUUUAGGUUUUUUAGCCUUCUGUAACUCUUUCCGCGGUAGUGAACGGCUAUAGCAGUCAUAAAUAAAACUUCUAUAGUGUCUUGGCUACUGUCGCGGAAAGUGCUAAAAUCACAUGUAUAAUUUUUACCUUAUUAUUUUAUUUCCUUCUACAGGGUGUUUUCACUGCUCUUGAUGUAACAACAUUGGUAUUGAACAUCAAUAAAUAAUUUGAAUGAAUAGUCGAUCGUUAGAUUCAUAACUUUAUUUCAUCACCCCUUUUUAGGAAGUGAAAUAAAUUGGUAAUUAUAAAAUAAUUAUUUUUGUUUGAUUUUGGACGACUGAUAGGCUAAAAUCAAAUAAUGUAAAUGCAUUAUAUUUAUAGGAACUGGGUUUAAAACCAAAUUCCCUUUUUUGUUUAUAAAAUGUAACUUCCAUAUUUUUUGUUUUUUUGGAAUUGUAUAAUAAUUAUAAAUAUUAAUAUGCAGCUCGGCAGCUUUCUAUAAUAUUGUAAGAAGAUAAUUUAACUAAAUGAUAAUAUAUUUUGGUUAUAAUACUACAUCAGUGGCCCUACUCUGCAGAACAAUUUCAUUUUUGGGUAUACCUAACUGUCUUGCUCAGUUAUUAUGGCAAUUCAAUUCGAGUGAAGGAGAUAGGCAGAUUCGGAAGUUCAGAAAUCGUCUUGCAGCAUAGGACCUCUGUUAUUGAUAACCGUAACAAUCUCAGUAAUAUGAGAAAAAGUUAAAAAUCAUAUAUUUUUUACAAUAAUAAUAAUGUAGAGGCUCAAACAUUUUUUUGGUUAGUGUACUUUCUUUUUGAUUUAUUUAUUUACACAUUCACUUGUGGUAAUACUGCCGAAAAUUUUCACAAUACUAAGUCAUGAUGCUUUAUUUUGUUCAUGUAAUAACAUCAAUUUAUAUACUUUAUUCAUAUAGUGCUGCUGAAUACCAUUUUCGCGACGAAAUCGAAGCUUUUGCUUUCACAUGACAUUAUCAAAUCUCUUGAAACAAUGUAUUGCGUUAUUAUUGAACGAAAUGUCAACAUUUUUCAUGUUAAUUAAAAAAUAAUGAUUAUUGCGGA
Long non-coding RNA from Ostrinia nubilalis (European corn borer), 3804 nucleotides. RefSeq lists it as uncharacterized. The record is from RefSeq and is a predicted model, not a curated record. NCBI's taxonomy places the organism in Eukaryota, Metazoa, Arthropoda, Insecta, Lepidoptera, Crambidae. The transcript has 2 exons.